GUUGACAAGUCACCCCGCCCUGAGCACGCCUGAUCUCCUCUGAUCUCAGAAGCUAAGCAAGGUCGGGUCUGGGUAGUACUCGGGCAGGAAAACAUGCAGCAGUCGGGG
Molecule: ribosomal RNA, 108 nt
Organism: Erinaceus europaeus (western European hedgehog)
Lineage: Eukaryota; Metazoa; Chordata; Mammalia; Eulipotyphla; Erinaceidae
Source: Ensembl